UCAAAGANUAANCCAUGCAUGUCUAAGUAUAAAUGCUUCUAUACUGUGAAACUGCGAAUGGCUCAUUAAAUCAGUUAUAGUUUAUUUGAUGGUUCCUUACCACUUGGAUAUCCGUGGCAAUUCUAGAGCUAAUACAUGCAGAAAGUCCCGACUUCCGGAAGGGAUGUAUUUAUUAGAUCCAAAACCAGCGCGAGUCCUCCGGGGCUCGGUUUGUUGGUGAUUCAUGAUAACUUCUCGAACCGUAUGGCCCUCGUGCCGACGGUGCUUCAUUCAAAUUUCUGCCCUAUCAACUUUCGAUGGUACGGUAGUGGCCUACCAUGGUUGCAACGGGUGACGGAGAAUUAGGGUUCGAUUCCGGAGAGGGAGCCUGAGAAACGGCUACCACUUCCAAGGAAGGCAGCAGGCGCGCAAAUUACCCAAUCCCGACUCGGGGAGGUAGUGACAAUAAAUAACAAUGCCGGGCUAUCGUAGUCUGGCAAUUGGAAUGAGUACAAUCUAAACCCCUUAACGAGGAACAAUUGGAGGGCAAGUCUGGUGCCAGCAGCCGCGGUAAUUCCAGCUCCAAUAGCGUAUAUUAAAGUUGUUGCAGUUAAA
RNAcentral lists this ribosomal RNA (594 nucleotides) under Tethya californiana. RNAcentral describes it as "SSU rRNA". It matches the Rfam family "Eukaryotic small subunit ribosomal RNA", at positions 37 to 623 of the family's 1831-position model. Lineage: Eukaryota; Metazoa; Porifera; Demospongiae; Tethyida; Tethyidae. The record is from RNAcentral.